This is a long non-coding RNA of Myotis davidii, 291 nucleotides long. RefSeq lists it as uncharacterized. The transcript has 2 exons. The record is from RefSeq and is a predicted model, not a curated record. NCBI's taxonomy places the organism in Eukaryota, Metazoa, Chordata, Mammalia, Chiroptera, Vespertilionidae.
AGGCCAGCCUGGCUGGACUCAGCGUCGAGCACGUGCACAGCUUCACGCCCUGGAUCCAGGCCCAGGGGGGCUGGGAGGGCAUCCUGGCCACCUCCCCCGUGGACUUGAACUUGCCCCUGGACUAGCUCUUCCCCAGCAGCUGGAAGAGGUUGGCCUUCAGGCGCCGGGCCCCUUGCGUGCUUCUCGAGCCUUCCUGUUCUCAGGGCCGUGAGUGGUGGCUGCCCACCCUGCUUUUGCCAAAAAGAAAUGGUUCACAUUUUUUUCAUAUUAAAGACUUGUUCAAAGGUUGAA